Anas platyrhynchos (mallard) is the source of this 13168-nucleotide non-coding RNA. The record is from RefSeq and is a predicted model, not a curated record. Lineage: Eukaryota; Metazoa; Chordata; Aves; Anseriformes; Anatidae.
GGGCGGAGGGAGGGCCUGGAAAGCUCCUGAGCUGCCCAUGGGUGACGGGGCGGCCGAGCAGGGGAGGCAGGCAGGGCGCAGCCGGCUGCUUCACCUCGGCUUCAACCGCAGCCCUGUAUGCCGAGCACGCAGCUCCUGGCAGCGCCGCUCAUACCAGAGCCUUGACUCAGGGUUAUCUGCAUGCUGGGUAACGAGCGGCGUCACCAGAGGAAUGUGCAGAGAAAGCAGCCAUGCUGCUGCUGCAAGCCUCCGCUCGCUCCUCGGGCCGGCCGCGGCCGCCUGCUUCUGCCUCCCGGCCACUGAUGAGUGGCACGAGGUGGGGGCUUCGCCCCGGGGCCAGCCCCGAGCCCACGUCGAAGCCACAAUGAUGUUUUGCCCUUCUGUGAGUAAGUGCUUGGUGCUGAGAGCCGGACAGGGCUCUGCUAGCCGUAACAGGGCUGCAGCAAGGAGAGGUGAUGCCACUCUCCCCAGCGCUCUGUGUUUGUCCCUCUCCCAGCCGGGCAAGCUGCAGCAUUUCAGCCAAAUCACCUGUCAGAGCGAGGGCGACGGCGGCCUCUGGUUCCUGCCCCAGCUGCCGCUCUCCUUUCCCCUGGGAUAACAGGGCCUGGCACUAACAACUGCGCACAGCUGAACCCCAAGGCGCCUGUGCGACACGGGAGCAGCUCCCAGCGCCACGCCACGUGCCCGCAGCCUGCGUCCUUCCCCCAGACAGCUCCGAGGCUGCAGCCGGUCCUGCUGAUGCAACCCCGCGAGGGCCGGGGUGAAGGAGAGUGCAGAGCUGUGUGUCAGAGGUAGGAGCUCCCCUUUGGCGAUGAUGGAAAGCACGGCGCGCUCAAAUCAAAGGCAGGACGGGGGCUGCUUUGAAUCGCUGUGUUCCAGAGCUAUCUGAGGCAAUCUCCCUCUUCCCUGCACGCAGCGAGGGAAAAGAUCAGAGCGCAGCCCAGGUUUUCAUGUGAACAUGUCCAGGCUGGCACGCAGCUGGGCGUUGCUGAUAUGCCUGACUCUGUGCUACAUGUAAAGAUAAUCCCUCCAUGAAGAACUCAGACUGCAGUGAUAAGAGAGGCCAGUUGGUGCAUCUCUUUUCUCCCACCUCCUUUGGUGCAAGAUUAUUCCCUGUAUCUUAUCAAAAGGAAGCAGCCUUUCAAGAGCUGUACCUUGAGGAGUGCCCGGAAUGGCAAUCAGUUCCAGCGCCGUAGCAGACCCUGCAGACGUCACUCCGAGGCUACGCUUCUCGCCUCUGAACACAUGGCUGGUGAUGUUCCCGGGCUGUGUGCUUGCUGUAAACGAGCACGCUCCCCGCCGUGCAGCUCGGCCCAGAUGCAGUGACUGCGCCUCUGGAGCCAGGCUCAGCGUGGGCAGGAGAAGAGCCAAGGAGCUCGGCGCUCCGUGCCGCGUCGCCCCUCUCGCUGGGGAGCUGCUCUGCAGCUCCUCAGUGUUAACCCAGCAGCACUCGGCACCCAGAGAUGCAGAUGGAUGUUGGAGGGUGAUUUUCAGCUCCGUCGGCGUGGGGCUGAGCCUGCCCAAAGUGCCCUGUACAGCCCAGCAGCACUCCCCAGCCCGCGGGUCAGCAAGCGCUGCAGGAAUCUCUCCUGCUGAGGUGCAAGCUGUAGUUCCUGUUGCUUUUAUUGACUCUGCAGGAGGAGUGCCUGCCCUGCUGCUGUGUUUUUUCAGCAUCAGACAGACGGCAUGUCUGUCUUUCCUCCUCACAGCAGAAGAACCCAUGGAGAUGUAUCUAACCAUUGGCUUUGCAGCUAUCUUUUAUGUAGCUGCUCCAGUUUUCUCUCAGUCCGUUUGCCUGUCAACGUGCUUCAUGCUUCACAGGCUUCUGGUUUACUUUCCCCAAGGAUUAUUCUGUCUCAGCAUCCCAAAUCCGUUCAGACAGCAGUUUGUCCUCCUUUGAGCACCAGGCUAGAGGGGCAGAAGCCAGAGGGGCCUGUUUGCUCCAGCAAGACAAAGCGUACAAGCUCACCUAUUUCACUUGCUGCCAUUGCUAAGUCCUUCCUGUAAUUCCCCUGCCUCCUUCCCUGCUGGGACCGAUAAUCUCACCUGGCUGCCUUGCUCCACAUCUCCUUAAAGAGGUCCUUAAAGAGGCAGGUCACGAGUACCACUUUGUUUACAAAUACCUCAAGGCAGACUUGUGUAUGGCGUAAGCACAGGAUCUCCUACCAAAGCACCUUUUUCCUGUUUGGGAAUUUGCGAGGGUAAACGAGGUAUGUGCGAAGAGCGAACUGCAAGGCCCCGAGUCCUCUCUAAAUCUCACUGUUUAUUUGGAAGCUCGAUAGAUGUUGGGAUCAGAGUGGAGUACACGUUACCUGUGUACGUGUUACAGAGGAGCCACUGUCAUUUUUCACCUUCAUAGUUUGAAAUAUACAUCACCGACAGACGUCCUUAUAUCCUUGGCCUGCGUGGUGCUCCAGUGCCCCUUAGGAAUUCUUGAGCGUACCAAGGCGGUGUGACUGGCCCUGGUAUUUAUUUCCUUAAUAAAAGUGAAAUUGCUGACUGUGGGAGGGGGGUGGCUUCUGGCAGGAAAGAGCAAGAAAUGGAAAGGUGCCUCGGUGGGGACAUGCGUCAAGGUGUUCCAGAGUCAGCCUGAAACAGAGGCUGGGGGAAGAACAAGUGCCAGAGGCAAAGACAAGAAAGGAAAACUCAGCGAGCUCUGUCCUUCAGCAGGCAGGUUUCUGCUUUUAAAUGCCAGGGAGAUGCUCAGAAACUGUUGUGACAGGGGGCUUUUAUAAACCCAGACAGAUAAAUAAGAGUCAGAUGGUCGCAGCAGAACUUUACAGAGCAGCAAAGCACCGCGAGUGCCGUCCGUGAGAUAGCUGGCAGCAGGUCGUGUGCUGAAGAGUCCCUCGUAACCAGUCCAUCCGUGAGUAAGAAAUAAUGAGAGCUCCUGAAGUGAGAGGCAGCAGAUAAUCAAAGGCAACGCUGUCACUAGGUGACGGCCCUUAAAUGUUGAGCUUGCAAAUAUCUCAAUGGUGGUAAUUGUUAUUUCCUCAUCAGCCAAAGAUGUGCAACAGAGCUAGAAGACAAAGAUGUGGUCUUCUCCCAGAUGCUUGUAAUUUAAAUAUUAAGGGAGAAAGAACAGAAAGGGAUGUUGAAAAGUUGGAAAGCACUGUUUGAGCAGGAAAAAAAAAUCAAAAUAGUAGGACUUGGCACACUGGGUGGUGAUAGGUGAAGGAGCCAGGUUCUAGCAGGUGAAAUUUAGGGCACAAGCACUUGCUCACAUUUUGCGUAGCUGAAAUUAAAUAUACCAAAAUAUCUGGGGGAAGACCUGGCUGUCACUGGGUAACUUGCUGGAAGCUCAACAACCUCAGGAUGUGUAAUGAGUGGAAGCUCCGUGUUGAGCCAUGGUACGGAGCUGUGUAACACCGUGAGAGCAACCAAAGGUCUGCCCUCCUCUGGAAGAGCAUGGCUGACCCCAUCUUAAAAAUGGUGAUGAACCAUUUCUGGGUGACCCCAUCUUAAAAACGGUAACAAAGCGUUUCAAGGGGUUUGGAGACAAGCCCGUGAGAACAGUUGGAGACAUGCAAAACGUCUCUGCGCCCCAGCAGAAGUGCAGUGGCUGUUUAUUUAUUCCACAGCUAAAGCGCCUCAGUGUGCACAAGGCUUCGCAGACAAAUCGGACAGGUCUGUGCCUGAGGAGCCUGCCUUCCCAGCAAGACAGGGCACAGCCAAGGGAGGCCGAGCAAAGGCAGUGCGCCAGUGCCCGUGCAGGGCAGCAGAGGCAGCGAUGGGUAGGUCAGGGUCAGGGGUGGCACCGGAGCCCUCCCAGGGUGUGCACUCACCUUCCAGGAAGCCAGGCCCCCUGCGGUGCUGGCGUGCCGAGGGAGAGCUUCUGGUUUCAUUCUCUCUGAGGUGUGACGUGUCUACUUACGGCUAGGCUCCUGCGGGAAAUAUCCUGCAGACUCCACAGCCUGGGUUUCCACCGGCUUCUUUUCCGAUGCAUGCAGCUGGCUUUACGAGCAAACUGCGUGUUUGGAUGCACGGCAAAGCAGCUGGGGUGCACAGACAGCAGCAACAAAAACCUCAGCGAGGGUUUGAAUGCAAAAGCAAAUUCGGGGAGCAUCCGUGCUGUGCUGCCUCAACACGCAUACGCUCAACGUGUAGUUGUGCAAAUGGAUUUUAAGAUGAACUCUAACCAUAAAAAAGGUGGAAUUGUACAUUUCAUUGUAAAAUUCAGGACUGGUUACCAAACGUGGCACAAACCUGGUGUCAUUUGGUAUAAUUAGCUCGUCAUCAGCAGACCUAGGGAUGUUCAUCAACUGGGCUCGUCAUUUGGGGCCGUGGAAAACUUGGUAAAUCCUAUUCCAGUUGCUGAUAAUUUCAGAACAGAAGAAAAUAAUAUUAAUAGAAUAUGUUUUUGUUGCAUAUUACUUGCUCGGUUCUCGCAUUAUGUAUGCAAAUCGGGUAAUUUUGUACCUAAUUGCCUGAUUUGCAUGCAUAAAUGUAGGUUGCACAUGUGCAAAUGAUUUUAUUCAAAUUUAGUAUAUGCCUAAUGUGUAGAGCGGCUGAAAACUCGACUCUGUGUAUGGUUUGAAUCACUCCUCAUUUUCACUCAAGGAAAAAGCAAAAUUUAUCGCUGGUUUUGGAGGUCAGAUGAAAUGCAGAUGAGCUUCUGUGGGUGGUUUCGCAGGGGCAGGAACCCUGGGGCUGUGCACUUGUCCCGAGAAAUUAGCAGUGGUGUGAAUGCCCAGGGAGAUCCGUCCCUGAGAGGGAUCCUGGUGCUUUAAAAGCCAGCAGAAAAUCGCAGGAAAAUGUGACACUCGCCAAGUGGAAAAAGACAGAAUCAUUCGGAGAGAAAUGGAGGUUUUGAAGUCGAAGGUGGCUCAGCAGACAAUGAAACCUAAGACGAGAAGUGUAAAAAUACCUCCCUAAAAUCCGAGCGCAUUAAAAAUUCCUUCAGAUGAUUUCCUGGCUAGGGAAGGAAGGGGACUGACAGGUCUUGUGAAUGAAGUGAUCUAACCUCAGCAGAAGGAGACGGUGGGCAAGGGAUGUGAAAGCCCCGUUUGUUCUGCCGUCUCAUGUGCUUCACCUCCAGGGGAGGAAGACCUGGGGGAUGACUGGAGGAGGAACAGCUCGGGCUGCUUGCUGCUGGGUCCCUGGGAGUUCCCGGCGCGGGGAUGAGCGGCGAUGCGCUGUCACCGGCGGUUUUGUAACCGUGUGGAAGGGCAGGAAGCGUCCGGGGGGAAGUGAGCUGAAAUCUCCCAACAGCAUUUUUCUCUGCGGUGUCAGCUGCAGCCUAAUAAACAACGCGAGGCUGUUUUCUCCCUAUUACUCAGAACUCCUCUGCAAGCUUUAUUUGCAUACGCACGGGUGACAAAUCCCACUAAAAUAAGCAGGGAGCAAAAUUAGCAGCGAUUUGGAGGCAGAUCUGGACACACAGUACCAAAUUCUCCUUUAGGCAUGAAGCACAAGGGGGUCACAUAGGUGCGAUGGACGCCCCUGCUGCCCUCCCUCUGUGCUGGCAAGACCUGUGCAGUAAGUGCACUGGGUGGAAGGCAGGAUUUGGCACAAAAUCCCUUUGUGUCCACCCGAGGCCGGGUCUGUCACAGCUCUGCGGACACGGCUACGGUGUCAGAUCACCUCUGAGCAGCGUAGCCUCGCUAGUAAGGAGCCCUAGCACGGAUGUGUUUGGAAUGGCAAACCUGUGCUUGUCUUGGAACAGGUUCUUUCCCUUCAGCCAGGGAGGCAAGCUGCAGGGAAUGGUACUUUCCAUAGGAGGACAGAGCUGCAGCUGGAGGAGGGGAGGGGAGGGGGCUGCGUGGCACCACGCGUGGAUGGAGCCCCUGCUCCGCGUGGGGAGCGUGGCACAGCCUCAGCUCCUUCUCUCCACACCCUGGAGCCCACCCUGCUACUGCAAAAGCUUCACUGUGCGAGCCCUGCCUGCAUCUGCAGCGCUUUACCAGGUUACCUGCCCUAGAGCACUGCUCCCUGAUGCAGAUUUGACUUUGAGCUGCUUUUUUUUUUUUUUUUCCUCUCCCAGGAGAACAAAACAGUUUUGAUGUAAAUGAGACUCAAGCUCACCUUCUUUUUCCUACUGUUCUAUCACCGAGAGAGAUAAUACGACUUGACUAACACCGCGUCUUGCCUCUUUGUUUGUGUGCUACCCUCAUCAGAGCAGCACACGCAGAGCUCUGUACAAAAUAAAUAAACCAAAACCCUGGGCUCUAUUCCCAACUCGCUAUCUGAGUGUUUAGCUAAAGCACAACUUCUGCUCUAUUGGAGGGAUGCUCUGUUAUUUGACUCAAUACUGUUAUUUCUUCUUAUUUUUAUUUCAUCAUCGAGUAAAAAGACACUUCCCAUUUUCCAAUUUUUCAGUAGGAGUGAAAAACACUGCCUGAUGGUUGUGGAGAUUGAAGGUUUCUUGUUUUUCUCCGAAUGUGUAUAGCUUGGGUAGUAUUAACUUCCUACUCUCUGCAGCUUCCCGUUCCUCCCCAGUUCAGCGCUCGGGAUUGAUUCCACUCCCGAUCUCUUCGCCCAGCCUUUUACCCAGGGUGUUUUCUGCAAUUUGGGCAAUUACUGCCUGCUGCAAUGGAGGCUGGUGUGGUGGGCGGCACUUCUGGGAAAAUGAACUGAAACUACAAGCCCAUCUCGCAGCGCAGAGCAUGCAGAACAGGCAGCGUGCUUCAGCGGCUGUCGGCCCAGACAAUUCAGAUCUGGGGCUGGGGAGGGAGUCAGCCUAACACAUACAUGGUGAGCAGCACCAUCACUCGUCCCAAAGCAAAAACCCCAUGAAGGGGAGGACGCCGUAACCACACCAUGGCCAAGCUGGCACCAGCAUCCCAGCCUCUUGGCAUUGUCGCUGCGGAGGUCACUGCAGUUCCUUGCCUCAGACCUUACAUUGUUCCACCCUGCAUUUGUGCAGAGGGCACAGCUUGCUCCUGGUCGCCUUUUUUUCCUCUUUUUGUAAUCCCUGGUUGAUAACUGGAGGGGUCUGACAUUUCUGCGCGACCGAUAAGAGAAAGGAUUGCCAAAGAGCGAAUUCUUUCUGGAGCACAUCCCUCCCCUUGGGUUAAAUAUAGGUUGCAGCAUCCCCGUGUAAUGAAAAGAUCAGAAAGCAUUUACGCGCUGGUGUAGUUUAUGCCUGGUAAUAAUUGAGUAAAAAUUCACCAUUGUGAAAAUCAUACCUGCAAAGACACGCUUAGUCACUCUCUGGCUAAUGAGUCUGUAUUUUCAGUCAGCCUCUCCCUUACUGUAUUCGGUCCGUGCACUGAAAUACUUCCCAUAUAAACCAAAUCCUUCAGCCUUUGUGUUUUAUUGCCUUGUGAUUUGCUGUUGGCCGCAGCACCCUGGUUUAUUAUCUUACCAUGUGCACUGCGGUACUCGCAGUGGUGUCGUGCUGCAGGAUUGCACAGCGUGCCGGACCGGGGAUGUCCAAUCCUUUUGAUUAUAAAAAAUGAAAGCUAAUCUGGAGAGGUUUUACCACUGUGUAAAACUAGAUCAGUAUUGUAUUGCUGUCACCACAGACGCACAAUUUAGAACACAUUUACAGUUGCCAUAAACUCUUUGCUUUGUAACCUGAAAUCAUCCGUAAUGCCGGGCUGAAAAUCGGUAGGUUCAGCAAGGGGCUGAAAGCCGAGCCGCCCGACAAACCCUGCGAAACAUUCAGCCCUUCUAAUUGCAAGGCAAUCUCCAUAUCUUUUCUCCAUACGCACAUGUAUGCACAUGCAUGCCAAUCCUGCAUAUACAUCGGCGAGCUCACACGUUCGCAAGCUCGCGCACACAUUCGCAGGCUCUCGCACCCGGGGAACGUGCUCUGCAAUAGAGAUGGGACGCGGGGUAUUUUUGAAGGCAGAACAAGAUGACUGUAAAUCGACACUUCCACCCACUAAUGAAAAAAAGCCAAGAAAACCUCAGCAGAGAAUGAGUUUUAUAAUUAAUGCUGAACAAUUUUCAUUGACAAAGCAAAAAGAAGCAAGUGGAUGGCUGAUUUAAAUGUUGAAUGAUUAAUGCACGGCGAGGCGGCUGAGGAAAAAGACAAAUUCAGGAGCAGCUAUGGAAAUUUAUGUAUGAGGGAGUCAGCACCAUAUUCUGAUCUCAGUUACACAGUUGUAAAUCUGUUAUCUUAAUGGAAGUAUUCAGCUUUGCCAUUUGCAUACCAUAAGUGAAAAUAGAAUUUAACCCAGAAUGUGUUUGCAGCCGUGUGUUUGCGGCACUGAAAGGGAAGAGAUGUGUAUGUUUGCGUGCGAUAAACUGCAAAUGCAGGAGACUUUUUGUAUCUCGCAGGGAGAAACGGAGAGCCAGAAUGCAUGUGUGAGUGUGUACGUGCGUGCCAGCUGUGGGGCUGUCUGACAGGGAGUGGGAGGGUGAGAACGUGUUUGUUCCUAGACUCCCUGGUCGAGUGAAAAUGGCUCCUGGAAAUGCCGCUUCAGAUUAGAGAGUGACGGCUGGAGAGGUGGAGAUUUCAUUACCUUCCUCUUUGUGCGAUGCUUUGGACUUGGUAAUGUAAAAGCAGAGCUAUAAAUAAUCCAGUCACAGCUGUGGUGUCCUCGAGAUUUAUAGUGCCCGCUAAUGCCAGAAUCUUUGGGGUGUUUCACUACGUGCGGCAAAAUGAGGAAUAAUCGCCCCCCGAACAGCACGGACCCCACCUGGCAUUUCUCACGUGCCAGGCAAGGAAAAAUUCUCCAUCCCCCCAGGCAGCCGUGUGUGUUCCUACAUUUGUGUGCGGUGCCCAUCGCCACGCACCCAUCGUGCUGCCUCUCCCCUUUGCCUCGAGGGCUGAGGCUGAGCCCCACCGCCCUCCGUGCCCGUGCCGGAGAGGAGGGUGCGGAGGUCACAAGCAGCAGGCUGCCGUGCGCAGGCUUUUGAGAAGCAGGCACGGUAUUUUUAGCUGCUCCAGAUUCUCUCAUGGCUGGGAGAUGAUGCUGAGGAGUUUAUUGCCGUAAGGAUGUGCCUGGAAUACCAGGCAGCCUCAGAAAUGCACUGUGCCGCAGAGCCCUGACUCAGUGCCGCGCCGUGACUUUCCUGUGUUGCUUCCACGUUCGAAAGGGAGAAAAAAUGGUUCCUUGUGCUCCCGGCGCUGGAGGGACGCUGCUGUGAUUGACUGAGGAGCCCCGUUGUGGGGAAGGACAGCGGCUGGAGCUCUGGCCAAACAGAGGCCUGACCAGUGAAGCUGCCCUCGGAUUUCUUCUCAAAUAUUGCUCUACAUUUCUGUCCAAACAGCAGGGCUAAACACAUGCUGCUUCCUUAGUGUGUUUCCCAAGCACGCCGGCAGUGCCCCUCCAAGGAGCAUUCCCGCAGCGAUGCACACCCAGCGCUCCCAAACCUGCAGGGCCGUGCCAUGGGGUGGUUCUUCGAGUGGCCUUUCGGGGCAGGUGAGGGGCAAGAGCCCACUGAGCGUGGCCAGAAGGAGGUGGGCAGCCAGCACCUGAAGCGAGAGGGAUGGGAGCUGCCUCGGGGCACUGCCUGCAGCGAAUCCCGCAGGAAAUGAAGUGGAAUUUGGGGUUCUUCUGCCCACGGUGCAGGUGCACCCGCAGGCUGGUUUCUACCCAAAACCCUGCUUGAGUUGUGUGAACCAGUAUAACUGCAAAGUCAAUUCCUCUGUGUAGAAGUCGUGGAUGCUUUCCUGACCAUUUAAAUCCCACAGAAGGUAGCUUGCCCCUUCCGAGGCAAGUGAAACAACAGCAGUGCUGGCUGAGGAGAGGAGAUCCGUAUCCUAAGAUUAUUUGGGGACGAGCGCGAGGCAGACCGCAGGGACCCGGUAGGACACCGACAGGCUGGCACUGGAGAGGCACUGAAGUCGCCGUGUGUCCUCCCGGCCUUUGGCUCUAUCAGACUCCUCAAGGAAUGGGCUUUCCUCCAUCACUUCCUAGGGGAGGCUGUAAUAAAGAGGCUGAACCCCGGCAGCUCCUGCCCGAGUCCGAGGGCGCAGCGAGGCUCCCUGCUGCCCCCUUGUUGCUGCAAGUGACAGUGGAAGCACCGCGGGCUCCUGCUUCCUCCCUGGGCUGUGAGCUUGACUGAUGUCCUCGCAUUUGGGGGAAAGUCGUAGACCUCGCACAGGAAUGUCUGCCUCAUUGCUGUGGUAUCCGGAAUAAUAAAUAGAGCAAUUACAGCUGCAAUGCCGAGCAUUUGCCUGGGCUGCUGCGUCCUGGGAAGCGCGCAUGUGAACCGGGGGCAAGUUCUGGGGAGGGAGGUUUGCAGGCAGAGGCAGGAGCUGCUUUCGACUUUUAAUUCUUGCACAAUACAGAUGAGCUUUCAGACGUACGUACACGCUCGCCCUGCACAAGCUCACUUUCCUUGCAUGCUUAGGUCACCGCAGCUCCAAAAACACCCUGCUCUUAGCAAUGCUCGAGAAGAAGGCUGCAAGAGCAGCAGUAUUUCCUUUCCAAAGUGGCCCUGCGUAACACACACAGCACGGAGCAGCCCCGUGUGGGUACAGGAUAUGCCACAUUUCAGUUUCGUGUUACUCAUUCUAAGCUUUCCUUGGGUCAGCAGCGCUCAGAAAGCUGCUGCCAUCCAUAUCGCGGGGAGGAAACCCAUUUGGAGUUAUGCGAGUGGAUCGCAGCUCAGUUCCUGCUUGGUCUGUUGGUUGGUUUCUCUUCUGAAAAAAAUAAUCAAAUCAGAUUUAAAUUCCUCCUCGUUUGCAAAGGCCGGCAGCUAUGAAUGGGAUACGGAGAAUGAACUCUCCUCUGUCCAGCCAUGAAUGGUAGCCAGGUCAGGACUGAGCCGCAUUGGCAGGAGGCAGCGAUGUGGGAAGCGUGCCCUGCCAUUAUCUAUUCUGGAGACGAGCAGCAGAUUUAAUUCUCUGAGGAUCUCAAGCCUAUAAUAACAUCUCAAUGGGAAUACAAAGUCCUGACCCAGAAGGCAGUGGCGUGUUCUCCUCGCCCUCCCUAGUCGUGACUGCGAGCGCGGCUGCGCACCGAGGGAGCUGGGCAGCGCCCUGCUGGUGGAGGACACCCACCCGUGUCCUGCUCAGCCCCCGGGCAGCACGGCACACACUGGAAACCAGAAGGUAAAGGCUGAGCGCCUCGUGUAAUCUGCAGGAAGAAAUACACAUUUGCAUGUCUGCGUUAAGCAAGAAGCCCUUGCUGCUGGAACAGCGGUGUGCGUGCUUUCUCCCUCUUCCUGCUGCUCCCUGGGCCCACGGCCACAGGCGAGCACAGAAAACCCGCAAUUCUUCCUGAGCUGGCAUCGCUGGGUGACCUCAUGCACCUUCUUGUCACCUCAGCAGCUCCAGCUGCGGUGUUCCUCCUUAGAUUCAUUAUGAAAAUAUGUAACAUGGGAAGAAAGGAAGGAGCCCCAUGACCCAUGAGGCCUCUCCUGCUGCUCCCCACGGCCAGGCCAACGCCAACAGAGCCCAGCACCUCCCGAUGUGGUGAGGACACCGAGGGUGUGAGGGUGAGCUCAGGGCACUCCUGCCUCUUGGAAACACGAGGAAAGGCUCACAAGGUGACAAAACCCACCCGUGGUGGCCUUCCGCAUCUGAGGAUGUUUAGAAGGAUCUUGGCGAGGUGAUUCACUUACAGUAAUAAUCUUGAUUUCUCACAAAGCCAGGGCUUUUAGAGGACCGUGGGAUGCUUUCUGUCUCAUUUUUGCUUUGGUUCUGCUUUGUUUUUAUAAUUCUACAAAUCUCUUUUUAACCACACAUGCACAAGGUCAUCACUGGAAAAGCUGCGGGGGUCCCCUGCACCUUUUAGCGCUAAUGCUGCAUGUGCCUGUUUUUUUGUGUAUUUAUAAAGGAAACUGAAAUCGAAGCUUUCAUCCGAAGGGCGCUUUCCUCACAGCAGCGAGGCAGGGCACUGCUCAAGCCCCCCAACACAAAACACCAGCCACACGCUGCCUCCUCCACACCAGCUCCCGACCUCGCCGCUGAGCGCCUGAGCCGAGCCGAGUGCCCCGGCCUCCAUCUCGCUGCCUGCGGGAUGCAGCCUCACCCCCGGCCCUCCGUCCAGCCCUGCAGCAGCCAGCCCCCUGCCUGCAGCCCCCCCAGGGACGCUGACAUCUCGUCUUUUACACCCGCUUCUCCCGGAAAAGCCAGGAGGGGGAUUUCAACAGCACCAGGGGGGCUGGAGCCGGGGAGCUGCGGCGGCUGCCUGAGGAAUGCUCCGGUGGGGAAGUGGGGUUUCUCCUGGCCCUAUUGCCAGGCCAAGGUGGGCAGCACCGUCUCGCUGUGCCUGUGCGAAGCCAAGCGCCCUGGUACCGUGCAUCCUCUGGCUUUUCUUCCCCAACUCCCCCGCGAAGGGAAAAAGGCAGCGAGAGCCGCAGCGGGGGCUGCUUGGGGCCGCUGGGGCUCAGCCCCUGCACAAAAUGGGGCUGGGAGGGAUGGUGGAGGAGGGGCUGCGGAGCGUGCUGCUGACCUGCUGAAUUAUGACUUUAAUGCAGUCGCUUUAAUAACUUGCUGGAGCUCCAACCACCAGAUGCAAUUUAUGGCGAAGCAGGCGCCCAAGCAUUUUUCUUUCUAUGAAGACUAAGCAGAUCUCUGAUUACCGCCCCCUCCCCCCAGCCCAUUACCUUCCCCCGCUUGCUCUGCUAAUGGAAAAAUGUUAUGUGUCUGUGUGCUUUUUCCCCAAGCCCUGUUUUCAGGAAAUGGUGGAGAAUGAGAAACUAACACACGCGCGCGCACGCGUUUGAAGGAAAGAUGGCUUUUAUUCUCCCUCCUUCAACCACACAAAAUUCCUCCCGCUAGCACAAUAGCUGCUUCUCUUCCUAAAACCCUACAACCUCAGCCAGAAGCAAGGCAAAAUCCAUGAUUUAUUUGCAGGGAAAAAGAAAGGCAUUCCCUCCCCCCCCCCUUCCAUCUGACCAAAAUCAUCUGAAGUCUGACUGUUUUCCCUGCACAAUGCAGAGCCCGCUGCUGCUCGGAAGUCUCCCUCCUGCAACAAAGGCUCGAACACAACCUCGGAGCAAACCGACAAAAAAGCCGAACCUGGGACUGAUGGAUGGACGAGCUGAAUUGAAGUUUUAAUUUUUUAUUUGAUGCUUGUAUACAACAGCGAUGGCUGCAUUAAAAAAGCAAUCUAUAGAUAGGCAGACUGAUACCCCGCCAGUGCUCCUAUUUUAAAGACCCAUUCAUUUUGCGUCUGAAGGAUGAAUUCUGCCUCCCACUCUCCUCCUCUCGCUCCUUUUCUGCGAUUUGCGUGAUCGUUUGCUACAUAUAUUAUGAAUUACUGUUUAUCUUAGUCCGGGGCUUCAAAGCGAUUUCCCAAAUAAAUUUCACCGGAUCAAUAAA